This 468-nucleotide ribosomal RNA is filed under the name uncultured bacterium. Its description in RNAcentral is "partial 16S ribosomal RNA". It matches the Rfam family "Bacterial small subunit ribosomal RNA", at positions 28 to 507 of the family's 1533-position model. The record is from RNAcentral.
GGCGAACGCUGGCGGCGUGCUUAACACAUGCAAGUCGAACGGAAAGGCCCUGCUUUUGUGGGGUGCUCGAGUGGCGAACGGGUGAGUAACACGUGAGUAACCUGCCCUUGACUUUGGGAUAACUUCAGGAAACUGGGGCUAAUACCGGAUAGGAGCUCCUGCUGCAUGGUGGGGGUUGGAAAGUUUCGGCGGCUGGGGAUGGACUCGCGGCUUAUCAGCUUGUUGGUGGGGUAGUGGCUUACCAAGGCUUUGACGGGUAGCCGGCCUGAGAGGGUGACCGGCCACAUUGGGACUGAGAUACGGCCCAGACUCCUACGGGAGGCAGCAGUGGGGAAUAUUGCACAAUGGGCGGAAGCCUGAUGCAGCAACGCCGCGUGCGGGAUGACGGCCUUCGGGUUGUAAACCGCUUUCGCCUGUGACGAAGCGUGAGUGACGGUAAUGGGUAAAGAAGCACCGGCUAACUACGUG